Molecule: non-coding RNA, 406 nt
Organism: Pelobates cultripes (western spadefoot toad)
Lineage: Eukaryota; Metazoa; Chordata; Amphibia; Anura; Pelobatidae
Source: the annotation of a GenBank genome assembly
GUUGAGAGAGCUGGCCACACCACCUGUCACACAUAUUUGAAGUUUCUCCAAGCACUGGAUCUACCGGCGACUGCAGUCUUAUCGGUGGCACGACCUGCCUGGCCGGUGGAGGGAAUUACUCCUUUCGUACCCUAACGAGCUGUAUCUGGGACAGUUGAUUCACUUAACCUGAAAGGAGUGACUGCAAACUUAUGUCUCUCAUUUACAUGUUUUAUUUAUUUUAUGUUAAUAUAGGUUUACUAUUGUUAGAUGUACUUGCAGUGCAUAGUAAUGUUAUACUCAUCCUGGUUCUGUAAGCAAUCAGAUUAAUGGAUGACUCUGUUAAUACCCCCUCCCUUACCCCUCAACGUGAAAAACUCACCAUUAGCCCUUAAUAGCAUUUACCUGCACGUUAGGCAUUUAACCC